GGUUUCGUGGUGUAGUGGUUAUCACGUCUGCUUUACACGCAGAAGGUCGCGAGUUCGAGCCUCGCCGCAACCU
Molecule: transfer RNA, 73 nt
Filed under: Gigantopelta aegis
Lineage: Eukaryota; Metazoa; Mollusca; Gastropoda; Neomphalida; Peltospiridae
Description: tRNA-Val
Rfam family: tRNA
About the family: Transfer RNA (tRNA) molecules are approximately 80 nucleotides in length. Their secondary structure includes four short double-helical elements and three loops (D, anti-codon, and T loops). Further hydrogen bonds mediate the characteristic L-shaped molecular structure. tRNAs have two regions of fundamental functional importance: the anti-codon, which is responsible for specific mRNA codon recognition, and the 3' end, to which the tRNAs corresponding amino acid is attached (by aminoacyl-tRNA synthetases). tRNAs cope with the degeneracy of the genetic code in two manners: having more than one tRNA (with a specific anti-codon) for a particular amino acid; and 'wobble' base-pairing, i.e. permitting non-standard base-pairing at the 3rd anti-codon position.
Source: RNAcentral